AUGCAACAGCCUACAGGCGAGAUGGAGAUGAAGAAGGCGCCUCUGCCAGCGCCUGCUUUCCACAAAGAGUACACUCUUCCUAGAGCACGACACUACCUUGAUCAACACUAUUCACUCCGCCCUCCUCUCUCCAAGGAUGAUUACUCCAAAAAGGAUCCUACAAGCGAGAUGGAGAAGAAGAAGAAGGCGCCGCUGCCAACACCUCAUUUCCACAAAGAGCGGCCUCUUCCUAGAGCAGAGCGGUCCCCCGAUCGACGCUACUCGCCUUACCCUCCUCCGUCCAUGGAUGGUUGCUCUGGAAAGAAUGCUGGAUCUUGGCCUCUUCCCCCGAUUUACUAUGGGCCUCCAUCUGAAGCCUUUCAUGUCGACUGGCGCAAUAAAGACGGGGUUGUGGACAUGGAGCAUUACAGCACAGAGCUGUUUGCAGCGAUGGACAAACAUAGUAUUUUGUCGGUGCACCGUUGUACACGCCCACAGUUUGGACCAAACGUCAGCGCUGAGUAUGUGCUUGAUCCUAUAUUUGAGGAUACGUUCCUUGCCAAUCCCCGUUUUAGCUACCUGCUUCCCUUGAUCGGCCACAAAGUAUCUUCUGCAGCUGAGGCUCCCAAUUCAACCACGCAGGUUGGCACAACUACUGGAUACUGGCAGUGUGAUGGUUCUAUAGAAGUCCCUGUCCGCGAAGUUGCUGCUUUGAAGAUUUCUGACAACUAG
Molecule: ribosomal RNA, 711 nt
Filed under: Triticum aestivum (bread wheat)
Lineage: Eukaryota; Viridiplantae; Streptophyta; Magnoliopsida; Poales; Poaceae
Description: partial small subunit ribosomal RNA
Source: RNAcentral